RNAcentral lists this ribosomal RNA (1412 nucleotides) under Klebsiella pneumoniae. RNAcentral's name for it is "bacterial SSU rRNA". It matches the Rfam family "Bacterial small subunit ribosomal RNA". The record is from RNAcentral. Lineage: Bacteria; Pseudomonadati; Pseudomonadota; Gammaproteobacteria; Enterobacterales; Enterobacteriaceae.
AUGCAAGUCGAGCGGUAGCACAGAGAGCUUGCUCUCGGGUGACGAGCGGCGGACGGGUGAGUAAUGUCUGGGAAACUGCCUGAUGGAGGGGGAUAACUACUGGAAACGGUAGCUAAUACCGCAUAACGUCGCAAGACCAAAGUGGGGGACCUUCGGGCCUCAUGCCAUCAGAUGUGCCCAGAUGGGAUUAGCUAGUAGGUGGGGUAACGGCUCACCUAGGCGACGAUCCCUAGCUGGUCUGAGAGGAUGACCAGCCACACUGGAACUGAGACACGGUCCAGACUCCUACGGGAGGCAGCAGUGGGGAAUAUUGCACAAUGGGCGCAAGCCUGAUGCAGCCAUGCCGCGUGUGUGAAGAAGGCCUUCGGGUUGUAAAGCACUUUCAGCGGGGAGGAAGGCGAUAAGGUUAAUAACCUUGUCGAUUGACGUUACCCGCAGAAGAAGCACCGGCUAACUCCGUGCCAGCAGCCGCGGUAAUACGGAGGGUGCAAGCGUUAAUCGGAAUUACUGGGCGUAAAGCGCACGCAGGCGGUCUGUCAAGUCGGAUGUGAAAUCCCCGGGCUCAACCUGGGAACUGCAUUCGAAACUGGCAGGCUAGAGUCUUGUAGAGGGGGGUAGAAUUCCAGGUGUAGCGGUGAAAUGCGUAGAGAUCUGGAGGAAUACCGGUGGCGAAGGCGGCCCCCUGGACAAAGACUGACGCUCAGGUGCGAAAGCGUGGGGAGCAAACAGGAUUAGAUACCCUGGUAGUCCACGCCGUAAACGAUGUCGAUUUGGAGGUUGUGCCCUUGAGGCGUGGCUUCCGGAGCUAACGCGUUAAAUCGACCGCCUGGGGAGUACGGCCGCAAGGUUAAAACUCAAAUGAAUUGACGGGGGCCCGCACAAGCGGUGGAGCAUGUGGUUUAAUUCGAUGCAACGCGAAGAACCUUACCUGGUCUUGACAUCCACAGAACUUAGCAGAGAUGCUUUGGUGCCUUCGGGAACUGUGAGACAGGUGCUGCAUGGCUGUCGUCAGCUCGUGUUGUGAAAUGUUGGGUUAAGUCCCGCAACGAGCGCAACCCUUAUCCUUUGUUGCCAGCGGUCAGGCCGGGAACUCAAAGGAGACUGCCAGUGAUAAACUGGAGGAAGGUGGGGAUGACGUCAAGUCAUCAUGGCCCUUACGACCAGGGCUACACACGUGCUACAAUGGCAUAUACAAAGAGAAGCGACCUCGCGAGAGCAAGCGGACCUCAUAAAGUAUGUCGUAGUCCGGAUUGGAGUCUGCAACUCGACUCCAUGAAGUCGGAAUCGCUAGUAAUCGUAGAUCAGAAUGCUACGGUGAAUACGUUCCCGGGCCUUGUACACACCGCCCGUCACACCAUGGGAGUGGGUUGCAAAAGAAGUAGGUAGCUUAACCUUCGGGAGGGCGCUACCAC